AUUGAACGCUCGCGGGAUGCUUUACACAUGCAAGUCGAACGAGUGGCGGACGGGUGAGUAAUAUCUCGGAACGUGCCCAGUAGCGGGGGAUAACUACUCGUAACGGUGGCUAAUACCUCAUACUAUUGGAGCUGCCGAUAUCGGAUUAGCUCGUUGGUGGGGUAAAGGCUCACCAAGGCCACGAUCCGUAGCUGGUUUGAGAGGACGACCAGCCACACUGGAACUGAGAGACGGCCCAGACUCCUACGGGAGGCAGCAGGGGGGAAUUUUGGACAAUGGGCGAAACCCUGAUGCAGCCAUACCGCGUGUAUGAGAAGGCCUUCGGGUUGUAAAGUACUUUUAGCAGAGAAGCGGUACCUGCAGAAUAAGCACCGGCUAACUACGUGCCAGCAGCCGCGGUAAUAC
RNAcentral lists this ribosomal RNA (405 nucleotides) under uncultured bacterium. Its description in RNAcentral is "partial 16S ribosomal RNA". It matches the Rfam family "Bacterial small subunit ribosomal RNA", at positions 30 to 526 of the family's 1533-position model. The record is from RNAcentral.